RNAcentral lists this ribosomal RNA (253 nucleotides) under uncultured bacterium. Its description in RNAcentral is "partial 16S ribosomal RNA". It matches the Rfam family "Bacterial small subunit ribosomal RNA", at positions 524 to 776 of the family's 1533-position model. The record is from RNAcentral.
GACGAACCGUACAAACGUUAUUCGGAAUUACUGGGCUUAAAGGGUGCGUAGGCGGCGGAGAAAGUUGGGUGUGAAAUCCCUCGGCUCAACCGAGGAACUGCGCCCAAAACUGCUUUGCUUGAGGGAGACAGAGGUAAGCGGAACUUAGGGUGGAGCGGUGAAAUGCGUUGAUAUCCUAAGGAACACCAGUGGCGUAAGCGGCUUACUGGGUCUCUUCUGACGCUGAGGCACGAAAGCUAGGGUAGCGAACGGG